UACGUAGGUGGCAAGCGUUAUCCGGAAUUAUUGGGCGUAAAGCGCGCGCAGGCGGUUUCUUAAGUCUGAUGUGAAAGCCCACGGCUCAACCGUGGAGGGUCAUUGGAAACUGGGGAACUUGAGUGCAGAAGAGAAAAGCGGAAUUCCACGUGUAGCGGUGAAAUGCGUAGAGAUGUGGAGGAACACCAGUGGCGAAGGCGGCUUUUUGGUCUGUAACUGACGCUGAGGCGCGAAAGCGUGGGGAGCGAACAGG
This 253-nucleotide ribosomal RNA is filed under the name uncultured bacterium. Its description in RNAcentral is "partial 16S ribosomal RNA". It matches the Rfam family "Bacterial small subunit ribosomal RNA", at positions 524 to 776 of the family's 1533-position model. The record is from RNAcentral.